CCUACGGGGGGCUGCAGUGGGGAAUAUUGGACAAUGGACCAAAAGUCUGAUCCAGCAAUUCUGUGUGCACGAUGAAGUUUUUCGGAAUGUAAAGUGCUUUCAGUUGGGAAGAAGAAAGUGACGGUACCAACAGAAGAAGCGACGGCUAAAUACGUGCCAGCAGCCGCGGUAAUACGUAUGUCGCAAGCGUUAUCCGGAUUUAUUGGGCGUAAAGCGCGUCUAGGCGGUUUGGUAAGUCUGAUGUGAAAAUGCGGGGCUCAACUCCGUAUUGCGUUGGAAACUGCCAAACUAGAGUACUGGAGAGGUAGGCGGAACUACAAGUGUAGAGGUGAAAUUCGUAGAUAUUUGUAGGAAUGCCGAUGGGGAAGCCAGCCUACUGGACAGAUACUGACGCUAAAGCGCGAAAGCGUGGGUAGCAAACAGGAUUAGAUACCCCUGUAGUC
This 443-nucleotide ribosomal RNA is filed under the name Clostridioides difficile. Its description in RNAcentral is "bacterial SSU rRNA". It matches the Rfam family "Bacterial small subunit ribosomal RNA", at positions 338 to 795 of the family's 1533-position model. The record is from RNAcentral. Lineage: Bacteria; Bacillati; Bacillota; Clostridia; Peptostreptococcales; Peptostreptococcaceae.